Long non-coding RNA from Carassius auratus (goldfish), 2197 nucleotides. RefSeq lists it as uncharacterized. The record is from RefSeq and is a predicted model, not a curated record. The transcript has 2 exons. Lineage: Eukaryota; Metazoa; Chordata; Actinopteri; Cypriniformes; Cyprinidae.
CUUUACCCAUUAUUUAGAAUGUGAUGUCAUUAAAGUCUGUGUUGGUGUAAUGGUCUGAUGUCCAAAUAUACAGUCGUGGCCAAAAGUUAUGUCAGUGACAUAAACUUGUCACUGACAACUGGUGUCAUAAUGUUUUUUGCAAAGCUGCUUAAGCUGUUGUGAUGUUCAUUCACAUUGUUUCUAGAUUAUUGUGUAGAGUGAUCAGAUGCAUUUUAAAUAACUGCACAAAAUUACUUUUCACAAAAAAUUAUAUUAAUAAUAAUUCAUUGUUUUUGGACCAUCACACAAAAGGACCAGCUAACAUUAAUUAACAUUAAUUGACUUUCAAAAGUGCAUAUCAACAGCACUUGUGAAUGUGUGAAUGAGUACUAAUCAGGUUAAUUACUAUCAUACUUAUUAGAUUGUAAGAGCAGACUGAUUGCUGUAAAGGGAGGGAAGAAGCACUUUCAAUCAUUGUGUUCUUGUUAGCAAUGGUUACUUUCAAAGAAAAAAAUGCUUUGCAUCAAAAUGUCUUCACAUGCAAGGAAAUUGUGCUGAAAGAAACAUUUACCGGAUCAUCAAGAACUUCAAGAAAAGAGGUUCGAAUGCAGUGAUAAGUCUUCAGGUGUGGCAGCCGCAGUGAAAAUGCGAAAAAGUGAAAAUUCAGUUUACUUUCAUUUUUUCACUUUGCGUGUUUGGGGUGGAGCGUCUCAAUUUUCAGAAGGAAAGAGUAUAUAAGGAAGUAAGUCAUACCUUAUACUGUAGUAAUCGUGUCAUCAGGACAAGAUUUCAGUAGUGUGGGAGUGAUGGUUUGGAGAACCCUGCAAGGUGGAAAGGUAGCCAUUUGUUCAAAAGUUGGCUUUUCUUGUAAGUGAUAUCUGGUGUGUUGUGAAGUUCCAAAUUCCUUUUAAACGUGGCACUGCCUGAUCAUCUGCACUUAAAGUUGUUCUGGAGACAACUAUCGGCUGCUCAUCCACCUUUCCUGGUGUCUGAAAAUCCCGUUUCACUCUCCAGUUUCGUCAUGACUGCAAACUUGUGAAGCAUCCUGAGACCCUCCUUAUUUUGGGGUUGCUUUUCAAACAAGGGAGUGGGCUCUCUCAUAAUUCUGCUCUAAAACACUGCCAUGAAUAAAGAACUGUGUCAAAACAUCCUGCAAGAGCAGUUUCUUCCAAUGAUCCAUGAGCAAUUUGGUGAUGAUCCAUGCAUUUUACAGCAUGCUGGAGCACCAUGUAACAAAGCAAGAGUGAUAAAGAACUGGCUCAAAGAACAUUAUGUUGAAAUUUUGGAUCCGUGGCCAAGCAACUCCUCAAAAGUCCACAAAAGACGAGUGGAUAAGCUGAAUCCCACAAAUUGUAAUAAACUCUGAGAACUAAUAAGGCAAGAAUCGAUCACCAUCAGUCAGGAUUUGGCCCUUAAAUUAAUAUCCAGCAUGCCAGAGUGAAUUGCAGAGGUUAUGAAAAACAAGGGUUAACACUGUAAAUAUCGACUAUAUAUAUAGCCAAUGAAAGCCCUUAAAACUUAUGACAUGCUUAUCAUUGUUUUUCAGUAUGCCACAGAAAUGGGGAAAAAUAUUCUACUGUUAAAAAUGCAUAAGAUUCAAUGACCAAUAAUUUUUUUCCUAUUUAAUUCGGAUAAGACAGAGAUUACUUUUUUGACCAAAAAACAAUACACAAAAUCUUGUACACUACAGUUUGCAACUAAAUGAAUGCUCUAUUACUUCCUCUGUAGCCAAAAAUCUGGGUGUUAUAUUAGACAGCAACUUGUCUUUUAAAAAAAAAACACAUUUCCCAUGUUUCAAAAACAGCAUGCGAAACCCUAUGAAACAUGUUACCUGUUUCUGAUGCAGACAAGCUAGUUCAUGACCUCUAGACUGGACUAUUGUAAUGCACUAGGUGGUUGUCCCAGAUGUUUUGUCCCUCCCUUGUUUUUCUUGGCAUUGCUUUAUCCUUUUUGGAGAGUGUACGUGCUCUAUCUUUCUCUUCGAUAGACGCACCUGUCUGUGGUUUGAGUGGCUGAUUGAUACGGUAAAAACGUCAACGAGGAGGAGAAAGGAGAUGGACAGAUCUUGUGGGCUAGACAGCAAACAAGCAUCUUUAUUUGUAUUUAGUUUUCUUCUUUGUAUGUUGUUGUCUGCUCUGUAUAAUUUCGUUCCUGGGUUGGUAUGUUCGUUAUUAUUGUGACGUCUGUUGGGAGUGAGUGAAUAAACAGAUUUGAGCGA